GCUCUGCUGUCAGGUCAUGUGUGCUAGUCUUUUCUACUCAAACUUUAUGUCAGUUCCUGGAGGACAGGGACCAGGUCUUACAUUCCUUCCCCCCGCCCCAACAGUGCCUAUCUGAUUCUUAGAAUCAUGGUGAUUUAUUUUUAAUAUGUAUUUUAAUUAUCCUUAAUAUUGUAUUUGCAAAAUCAGCUCUAUUUGGUUUAGAAUAAACCUUGCAAUACAACUUUGGCCAUGUCUAUGGAUUUAUUAGCAUUUCUUAUAAAUGUAAGAAAUUUGUAAUUUUGCACUGCUUUUCACCUUUAGGCCUUGCUCAUACAUAUACAAUCACACUACUAGUAUAAUACACACAUGGUUUGCUUAAUUAUAUUCUGACAAGAUACCUCUGCUUUGCCCAUGCUUACAGCACAGCCCACUAGUCAACUAUGCAAGUGUCCUGUUAUUGCACUUAACAUCAUCAUGUUUUCAGAACAUAAAAUGCCUGUUUAAUACGGUCCUACCUUCCUAUUCUAUCUCUGGCUUAGAAAAGGAGAACAGGAGCUGGCUAGCAUCUUCUAAAUAUAGCCUCUCUCUCCUCUUCCCAUCUCUGGUAGGUCUUUGCCCUGAAACCUAACACUGUCCUUGCUUUGGUUUCUUUCACUUCCUUUCAAAUCUGUUGUCUUCCUGCUUGUACUUUUUUGCUAGAAGGCAGGGCCUAUGAGAAGAGACCCCCCGCCCCCCGAUUUCGUCAGAGCUAGCAAAAGACAGGAAGUUUACACAGAGCAAAAUGAUUUGCUAGAAUUGGUUUUGACCCUUCCUUAAGCUGUUGCUUGUGUCAGAGAUGCUGCUGUCAGGAUUCUGUUGCACAAAGAGAAAGAUAAAAAUAUCUCUCUGACUCGUGCAUUUUCUCCCUUUUCCAUCCUCUUGCCAAGAACACUGGAAAUGGAUCCCAGGCCUAUUGGAGGCAUUAGGUUGUCAGUUUGAAUCCCAGUGGUCGAGAAAGAAAUGUGGGUAAUAACUAGCUGAUGGUGGAGAAGAAAGGAACUCCAGGAGCUGGCAAAGUGGAGGUCCUGGAACUUUCAAGAGCUCCAGUCUCUAUAGGAAAACCUGUGAGGGGAGAAGUCUUCGCGGUAUCACCACUUCCUGUCGACCAGGGCUCAGGCUGCCUUCCUCCGAGCACCACACAUCAAAAGUGAAGUGAGUUGUUGGUUUUUAUUUUUUCAAGUGUUCAUACUAAGUAGAGAAUCUUGCUUCAGUGUUGGUAUGGCCUUUAACAAAUGUGGCAUGUAAACCAGCACUUCUCAUACUUUAACGUGAAAAUGAAUCACCUGGACAUUUAGUUUAAAAGCAGCAGAGUUCUGUGGGUCUGGUUUGGGCCUGAGACUCUGCAUUUCUGCAGGCUUGCAGGCAACCUCAGACCUGCUGGUCCAUGGACCAUGUCUUGAGUAACAAGGCCUUAAGUCUUGUAGGCUUUUUGCUUUUCAGGAAAAGGGAUAGGGGUGGGGGCGGGUUGCUGGUGGAAUGAAGGGACUUAGCCCAGGACAUGAUCUGUGUAGAGCAUCUGAAAAGAAGAUCAGUCACCAUCCCUGCCCUGGUUGUACCUGCUUUAGCAGACUAUCUCCAGAAUUUGGGGUUUCUGUUAAACAGGUCCUAGAUGUGGGAAGCUAAGUCACCCCAAGUGAGAGAGAAUAUUGGGAUGCUCCUUACGCUUCCUGGGUCACUUUGAGCAGAGCCAGAAAUCUUUUUUUAAUUGUUGUAAUUUACAGGAUUAAGUGUCCAUAUCAUGCCUCAACCAGUAUAGCUAGUGGUCACUUUGAACAUUUCAGCUUCAGUUAAAAAUUAUGCAUACUUGAAAAAUAACUGGUGUCCCUACCGCCUACCACCUGGAGGCAAAGAUUGUAAGACAUAGGAAUCCAUUACAGGUUCUAAAGUCCAUUAGAGUAAGGGAUGUACUGAAGAGAAGCCUUCAAACCCUCCCAGGUGAUGCUCCCUGUCUUAAGUGAUUCACAUUUAUCUGAAAGCCGCUUUUAAUCCAAGAGACAACCCAGAGGCAAAAAAUGAAUAGAGAGGAAAUGUACCUAUUCUGUCCCUAGUUGAGGGGAGAAAAUAGCAGUGGGAGAAAAGAAGGGGAAUGAAAAGAGAGUGGCGGCCUGGGGUAUCCUAGCUUUGCGAAACGAAUAAAAGAAACCCCAGCCUAGAAGUCGAAUUCUUACCCACACAUACAUGAGAGUCCUUCCAAAAUGGUAGCUCAUGUCUUCCUCAGCCAGAGAAAUGUGCUAGAAACAGAAUGAGUAAAUUACAAAUUGUGUUGUUUUGAUGAAUGAACAUGCUGAAACUAUUUGUCAUUAAUUCGAGGAUUAUGCAAUGGAGUUAAAGUUCAGAGGAAUAGACAGGCCUCGUGAAGCACAGGAUGAACCCAUCAAAACCAUCCCAGAAAGGGGGGAAUUGCUCCUGUUUGAAAUAAACUUCAAAUGGCAUCUCUUUCUACUAUGGAGUAUAACCAGAGGUGAUAUUUAAAAAUUUAACAGCCUGAGUGGCACAAACAUUGACCAAUCAGAACAGAAGCUACUGUAAACAGCCCGUAUGGCAGCAAAUGCUAGGCUGUAAGAAUGUACAGGACUGAAUAUUGGCCUAAGGUAGUAUAGGUUUUAGUUAAAUAUUUCUGGAGGGAGAAAUUAUAAAGCUACAGAUGAGUUCAGGGAUAUAUAAUGGCAUUCCUACCACCAUCUGCCAAUGCUCUGGCCCCAUUUUCUCAUGGAGGACACUUCCCUCUUUUCUGUCUUAUGAAGCCCAGAGCAACCCCUCAUUCCGGCUGCAUAUCCUACAACCUGCACUAAAGAGAAUUCUCUGAAGUCACUGCAAGACUCAAAAUCCUACCCACUUCCCGAGUAGCAGAGAAGAUGCAUAUAUUCUGUUGUAAAGAGUCACAGCAGAAAAUGAAACUUGAUCACCGUUACCCUUCUAUACAAAACAUUGUCACAUACAUUGUCUCACUUGAUCUUCACAAACAUCAUGGAGUAUAGGUCAAGGGGAUUAUUAUUUUAACUUUACUUAAGAAAUUGAGGCUCUGGUUACGCAAUUUGCUAACAGGUGCACAGCUGGUUAGUAGGCAUGUGGACUUGACCCAGGCCUGAAUGCUUGAAGUUCAGGUUCAUCCUGUACUUUUUUUCAUCCCCUCAAGCAGCCUCUCAGGAUCUUUGACAACUUUUAUUGUUCUGCCCUAGAAUCUUUUUUUUAUUCAUAAUUUGAGAUCUUUGUAUGUUAAAAAGAAUUUGAUUUCUACUUCUUUUGUCAAAAUUAUUCUCAUGCUUGUCUUAAGUUUUGCCUCCAUUAAGGCCUUUACUCCACAGAAAUAAAUGUUUUAGAGCAGUGAGUCUUAAAUUUCUUCAUGCUUAAAAAUUACCUGAGGAGCUUGCUAAAACUCAGAUUCCUGGGCCCUACCUCCAGAGACUCUGACUCAGUGGGUCAGGGCUGGGGCCUGAGAAUUUGCAUUUCUAAUAAGUUUCCAGAAGAACCUAAUGCUGCUAGCCAGAGACCAUGCUUUUAGACUAUGGGCACAGCUUGAGUAUUUUAUUUUAUUUUAUUUAUCUUAUUUUCUUUUAAUUUUUUAAAAAAUUCUGUUUUUAAGUAAUCUCUACACCCAUCAUAGGGCUCAAAGUCACAAUGCCAAGAUCAAAAGUUGCAUGCUCUUAAGUGAAAUAAGUCCUGUAGAGAAAGACAGCUACCAUAUGUUUUCACUCAUAUGUGGAACAGGAGAAACUUAACAAAGGACUAUAGGGGAGGGGAAGGGGAAAAAUAGUUAAGGAGAGGGAGGCAAACCACAAGAGACUCUUAAAUACUGAGAACAAACUGAGGGUUGAUAGGGGUG
Suricata suricatta (meerkat) is the source of this 3841-nucleotide long non-coding RNA. The record is from Ensembl. NCBI's taxonomy places the organism in Eukaryota, Metazoa, Chordata, Mammalia, Carnivora, Herpestidae.